UAGGUUAGAGUGGUAAGAAGCCUAUAAUCUCUUUAAAUGCUCUCACCGAAUACUUCUGCAGUUACAGAGUAUUGUUCACCUCGAAAAAGGUUACAUGGGAGCAUUCGAAGUGGGCAAAAAAAUUGUAGGCAGAUAAAUAAAAUGACUAGAUCAAAAUGAAUGGAAAUUGUAUUAUUUCCACGAAAAGCAAAAAGAACAUAAUAAAAAAAUAAAGAAAAACCUUAAUAACAGUUUCUAUGGCUAUGUAUUGUACCAACAAUACAAAUCUACAAAGCUUUCCACAACAUGACUCUAGUUGGCACCGCUUAGCAAGCUCCUUGCCAUUAACUCUCAACAGUCACAAACCCUUCUAUUGCCACGUGCAGACUUGCCCUAUGACUUUGCUAUGUCCAUCAAAAAUAGCUUGCAUGCUGGCUAGACGAGGUUCAAAAGUUAUACACCAUCAGUCCAACAAAGGAAAACGCUAACCAAGAUCUUCUCAGCUAGUUUGGAGAAUGGCCAGAAAUCAAUUGCUUUUCCAAAUUUACAAGGAUCAUUAUAAGACUGAUUAUGCUGAGGACCCCUGAAGAACCAAUGUGUUCCCCAAUAUUUUACACAAGCACAAUAUUUCCAUCAGAGAGCCAAGUUCCCCCUCCUCCCAAAAGUUGUAUGGAGUCACCUGCCCUGAACCAGUCUGUAGUUAAGGACCAGAUCCUCAGGUUUCUUCCAUAUGUAAGCUCUCACGGUGGCUAAGCUCAUGUCUGGGGAUAAGACCUGAUUGUUGCACAAAAUCUCUAUGGAAGGCCUCAGCUUUUGCCAAGGCUUCAGUCCAGGUCGNNNNNNNNNNAACAGUGGAAUGCUGUAACUGUCCUCCACCAAGUCCAGGAGCAAAACUUCCAUCAGGAUUAUCCAGCGGUUUGUCAAGGACCAUCUUUUCUAUGAC
RNAcentral lists this unclassified non-coding RNA (922 nucleotides) under Hevea brasiliensis (rubber tree). The record is from RNAcentral. Lineage: Eukaryota; Viridiplantae; Streptophyta; Magnoliopsida; Malpighiales; Euphorbiaceae.